GAUCAUGGCUCAGAUUGAACGCUGGCGGCAUGCCUUACACAUGCAAGUCGAACGGCAGCACGGGAGCUUGCUCCUGGUGGCGAGUGGCGAACGGGUGAGUAAUACAUCGGAACGUACCCUGAAGUGGGGGAUAACGUAGCGAAAGUUACGCUAAUACCGCAUAUUCUGUGGGCAGGAAAGAGGGGGAUCGCAAGACCUCUUGCUUUAGGAGCGGCCGAUGUCGGAUUAGCUAGUUGGUGAGGUAAAGGCUCACCAAGGCGACGAUCCGUAGCGGGUCUGAGAGGAUGAUCCGCCACACUGGGACUGAGACACGGCCCAGACUCCUACGGGAGGCAGCAGUGGGGAAUUUUGGACAAUGGGCGCAAGCCUGAUCCAGCCAUGCCGCGUGAGUGAAGAAGGCCUUCGGGUUGUAAAGCUCUUUCGGUGGGGAAGAAAUUGCUUCGGUUAAUACCUGGAGUAGAUGACGGUACCCGCAUAAGAAGCACCGGCUAACUACGUG
This 499-nucleotide ribosomal RNA is filed under the name uncultured bacterium. RNAcentral's name for it is "bacterial SSU rRNA". It matches the Rfam family "Bacterial small subunit ribosomal RNA", at positions 15 to 507 of the family's 1533-position model. The record is from RNAcentral.